GCGGCCGUGAGCGGAAUGGCGAGGAGCGGGGCGGGCGGCGGGGGCUGCGGUGGCCCCGAACCGCGGCGGGGGAGGAGGAGGAGGAGGAGGAGGGAGCCGGGCUCGGUCGCGCGGCCGGGAGGAUGCACAGAUGUUUAAACAGAUUAAUCGAGCUCGGAUUUGCCAAAUCCUCGGUGGAAACGCCGAAGCGCUCCGCCGGUAUCCCACCGCUCGCCUUAAUUAUCCCUGUCAUUUGGCCCGCUCUAACUGAAGCCUCCGCAGAGAGCAGAAAUGACUUCUUUCGAACGAAACGCGAACUGAAUGCAGCCCGCGUUCCGCGGAGCUCCCCGAGCUGCCAUGUUCAACGGAGUUCAACAAUAGAAAACCGCCACAGCCCGAGAAGCCGACCCAGCCCGGCCGAGAGCCGCGUGGGGAUGCCCGGCGCACCGCCGGCCCGUGCUGCCCGUGGCCCAGAGCUUCCAUCGGACAGCCCGCGUGCGGAGCCUCGACAGCGGUUCUUCCCCUUCCCGGCCAGUGGUUUUCCAUUCAAACGAGGAGAAGAGUGUUUCUAUUCAAAAUGCUUUGUAGUUGCUAAUACCUGUACGAAUGAAUGAAUUUAGAAGGAGCUCAGCGCCUUCCCCGCACGUGGAUUCCAAUGGGAUUUAUCAGCUAUCCGUCUCUUUUUGAAGCCUCUUCCCCGCCACUUUCAGGUAGCUGUCCCUUGGAUGAAACUCCAGAUACAGUGGAAAGCGGCACCACCUAACAGCUUGAGCCAAAGCAUCAACAAAGCACACCCGUUUGGAACUACAAGAGAAACUGGAAUAGAUGCGAAGCGCUUACCAAAGACUGGAUGCAGCCAAAGCACUUGUCCUAAAGAAAGGCCAUUGAGGUUUCUAAUAACUACCGGUCAUCCCCACUGCUGCCUUAGAUGCUGUCCAAAAGGGCUGAGGAUCUUUGGUCCUCAUGCCAAAGGCAUGUUCUCUUCGUCUCUCUAAGUCAGUAUUUGGAAAGCCAAAGGAGUAACUUACAGCAGUCAUCUACUCUCUAUCGCGGUUUAGCACUUUACAAAAGUUCACCUUUUCUUUCAUCAAGCUGAAAAGCAUCACAGUAUGUUGUGUUCUUUUUCUGAGCAUUAAAAGAGAAAUACAGGAUACUUUCAAACUCUUUCAACCUUAUCAGUAACAAUUGCUUGAAUCAGGAAACAUUUUUAAUAUUAAAACUUGGCAGCAUCUUAUAAUGUGGAGCCUUAAGACAUCUGGAUUGUAAAGUAAGGCUGAGUGGGACUUUGGGUAACCUUGUCUAGUGGGCGGUUUCCUGGCCCAUGGCAGGAGGUUGGAACUAGAUGGUCUUUAAGGUCUCUUUCAACACAAAUCAUUCUGUGAUUCUACACUAUUAAUGGAUAAUUAUGGGGAAAAAUAAAAAUAAAUAAACAAAACAAAACAAAACUCCUCAGAAUGUAACCUUUGCUCAUUGCAUCUGCUAUGCGUGGAGAAAAUAUCUAGGGUCAGAUCUUUGUUCCUGUUGCCUUCCACUGAAUUCCAGUUCUUAUGAACAGUAACCCAAAUUGGGAUACCCUUUUGAAGCCAGAGUGCUUAUGGUUGCUACUACCUUAAAAUGAAUUGGGCCAUAUUCUGCAGUGUUUUAUAUUCACUCAGGUAAACCACCGAAAACCUUAAACAGUGGCAUCAAAUCAACUAUGGCUGUAGAAUUUCAUGUAUUACUUUCCAUAUUUGAUAACGAGGGAUUCUGACAGUCCUUGCAAGCACCUUGUACAGGCAAUCAAUAACAUUUUUGAUCUGAAAUAAUGCAGGUUUAUAUUUUGAUCUUUUUCCACAACACAUUUUCAUCUCAAUUUAUAGUGCUUCAUUAGUGGUGGUUUGCAAGCUCAUCUUCCCAUUGUAAGGAAAACCAUCUUUUCUAACAUCAUUUGCUGGUAUUUUAAUUGGAAAGAUCUAAU
Molecule: long non-coding RNA, 1936 nt
Filed under: Gallus gallus (chicken)
Lineage: Eukaryota; Metazoa; Chordata; Aves; Galliformes; Phasianidae
Description: lncRNA (ENSGALG00010015023.1)
Source: RNAcentral